UUUGCUUGCUUUCUGGUUUCAUUUGCAAAAAACAAUGCAUACAUAUGUUUAUAUGUGUGUGAAUGUAUACAUAUAUAAUUAUAUAUGUAUAUAUAUAUGUGUGUAUAUGUGUGUAUAUAUAUAUAUUUAUGUAUAUAUACACUGUAUAUAAAAUAAAAAUAUACAGCCAAGCAUCAGAUCCCAUGGACUUGGCAGAAGCAAAACACAGAUAUGUUGUCUCUAUUUGGUUUGUAUAAAGUUGUUUGCAGAAACAGAAGUUACUUUACUGACAAAGUGAGAAAACAAAAAUAUCAAUGUGGAGUGUGACGAAUAAUGGAGAUUUGUGAAGUGGGGAGGGUGAACAUUUGAAAAGCAGAAGAGAAACAAAAGUGAAGCAAAAAUGGGUUAUUAGCAAUGUUUAAUCUUUCUUAAUUGCUCUGAAGAUAGAUGUUAAAGGUUACAGUUGUCCAUGGGAUUUUGAAUACAGUUAACAUGGUAAUGUGUUUAUACUAAUUUUGUUUUCUGUGAGCCCAAAGAAAUUGGGGAGCACCAAAACAUAGUCCUAACAUAACAAAAUUAGUAGGAAUUCUUGCCUUGUUAUCUGCAGUGAUGCUUCAAAAUGUAUCCAUUAAAGAGUCAGAAGGACUGGCCAUGUGGAACUGACUCAACUUCUCCCUUUCAGAUACAUUUUGAUAUAUUGAUGGCUUUUCUUUCUGGUGAGAUAUAUGAUGUGAUAUCCAGCAGGCAACUGCAGUCUAUUUUAUUUCUUACAGGCUUUUUCAAGUCUUCUUUUUUGAGGCUUGCCAUGAGUUAAGCAUUUCUAUAAUAGAGAACAGACAUCAUCGAAUUUCUGUGUACAUUUAAAAUAAAAAGAGGGAGAUUAGAAUUUUUUGUCCUUAAAAGUGAAACAUAUAAAUAGUUUAGGGGGGUUCUUCUGUUUGGCUUUGUUUUGUUUGUUUUUGCUUUGUUUUGUUUGGGAUGAUUUUUUUUCUUAAAAAAAAUCCCAAGAUAGUAUUAUAAAUGUUCUGUUUCUAGUGUCCUGAAACCAUUUGAGUAACACAAUAAUAACAUUAAAAUUCACCCAAGGCUAGUGCUUUCACAUUUCUUUUCAAUUCGUCAUGCUGUACCUGCAUUUUUGGUAGAACUUGGUCUUGCAGUAACCUGAGAUUGGCAUUGCCUUGUAGCUGGGAACUUCCGCUCAUACUCUUGAUUUCCUUGUGUGGCAGGGAAGGCAGUGACACAGUGACUGAUGCUAACAGAUAGCUCAGCCUGCUUCCCAUCUCUUUUUUCAUAGGUUUCUAUGGGUUUUUCAAACUCCCCAUCUGGAAGAGAAGCAGUCCAAAUAAUACUAGAUUGUGAAGUAUAAACAGUGUGGGGUACUGAGAGUUUAAGUAAAGGUAGUAAUGAAAUGCCAGCAUAGUGAUUAUAAUGGAAGUGAGGCAUGAGAUUAAUAGGACCAUGCUAAAAGAACUAAUGUACCACAACUGAUAUGUAAGUGAAUGGAUAGAAGUCAUUUCAUUUAAGCUUCACUAACAUGUCAAGACUUCUUUUUUUAUUUAUAUUCUGAUUGCCAGGUAUUUCAAUUAAAGGACAAAAUGAGGUCUUUAUCUGACUCCUCCUCUUGUACACUGUUGUCAUUUUUGGUUCAGAAAUCACAAUUACUUCAAUGGUUAGAAAUUGUAAUAGCAAUAUUCUUUCCAACUUGUGCUGCCAGUGGAAAAAUCAAAGUUUAAGGAGAAAUUUGGUAAAACAGGAUGCUUAGCAUGAAAUUUCAGAUUGCUGUAGAGCAACAUUUCCAGACUAAAAAUACCUCCUUCCUGACACAGUUAGAAAUCUAAUGCUACAAACAGGUACAAACUGGAUUUGUAAAAAUUACUUGCCUUUGAAAAUCUUGCUAAACAUUACAGUUGUCAGCUGUAAGUGCCUACAGACAUUUGAAUAUCUGCUGUGUAAAAUAAUAUGAUUUGCUGAAAAUCUUCAGAAGGUUCUCUCCUAAACUACUAGACAUUCUUGCAAAUUUCACCCAGUAUCUUUUAUUGCACCCUACUCCUCUUGCAUAGGAAGCUGAAAUUCAUGAGCUACUGAAACCUGAAUCUUUUCUUGGGAAUUACUAUCGCACUGAGAAUAAAGGUUAGCUUGAUUAUACAUAAAAAUAAGUCUCCCAGAUGGUCCUUGCUGAUGAAGUCUGCACUUCCAGAUUUUGAGUUUUCGUGCUCUCAGAAGCACUGGUGUACAGAGUCGCCAGAAGGAGGAAGAAUAUGCAGAUCAUUUUUGCAUAAACUUAACACAUUCCAUCAUAAUAAGAAGGAAAAGUAACAGGUUUAUGGUGCUUCUCAUUUUCUUUGUCUAAUUUAUUGUCUGCAUUCCCAGAGCAUCCAGUGUCUGCAAUACAGCCAGUAUCAAAGCACUCACGCAGCCCAUUCUGCUCUGGAGCACUAAAGCAAUCUGAGCCGGCUUAUCGAAAUCCAGUGGUGCUGGCUUGGCUGAGCAGAUAUGUUUGCCUUUACACUUCACCAGCCAAGUCAGGAUUCUGGUCAAAUGCCAAGAUCUGGUAUUUAAAUGUAUAUAUCAUGGAAAGAAAAGAUCCAGAUUAUCCUGCUUGUAUUUUCUAGUGUGUGGGUUUGGAUUUUUUUGAACCUAAUAUUGUUGUGUUUGUUUUUUUUUUUAAUUGGGCUCAUUUGAAGUUGCUUCAUCCUCUUCUGUUGAUAGGUCACUGCCCUCUGGCUUGCCUGAUCCCUUUUACAGCAAACUGAAAAUUAAAUGACCUAACCCAGCACAGUCUCCUUUUUGUUACUCUGAUAAUGUGUAGCUUUUAAAGCUCUUGAGUUUCUGCCAAACACCAGGACUUGGCCUUCUACCACCCUCAGUGCUACAGUCCAGUAAUGCAAAGGUUACUGAACUCACUUCUGCAGCUGUGAGAUAUGGUGCAUAUCACUAUGAACCUGCUGUGCAAUAGCCAAGACAAGGGCAGCAGAGAAUGUGGCCCUGGAAAUCAGAAAUUUUCAGAUUUCAUGUGGUCAGAAUCAAAUCCCAAUGUCUAAACAUAUUACUUUGGUCCUGAUCCUGAAUCUGAGGUGGUACUCCACAGAAUCUUUUUGAAGCCUUUGUGUUUGGGGUACUCAAAUGCUGAAAAUCAUGUCCUCUUUGAAGCUAAAUAUCAUAUGAGAGACAUUUGGCAAGAUUAUUUCCACUUAGUAAUUACUAUUGAUUCACUGUUGAAUCCCAGACCUGAAUCUUUUAAGUAUACGAUCUGCAUCUGAACACUUGUAUCUCUUUAAAAGAAGCUGGUGUGAAGGUAAUUUCCUCACUCUACUCCUUUCAGGAUUUUCCAGGCUGGCUUGAGACAUUCACUGGAGCAGACCUCCUACCACUUUUUGCCCCUUUUCCUAAAGUGAUUUCUUUGGAGAUAUCUGUAGAUCCACUUAAAAAGCAGCAGAUAUCUUAGGACCUUUCCUGAGUGAAGUAGCCAACAGAUAUCACCUGUACACACAUAUGUAUGUAUAAGGAAUUAUUUUAAGUGAUGGCAAUGACAGCUGCCAUGCAAAACCCAUUUGUAUUUUAUGUAAUGCAAAAGAAACCAUUGCAUGUUCAGGGAUAAAAAAUACUUGCUAUUCAUCUUAAUGCAAACAAGUCUAGAUACCCUUAUAUCUCUAGAUCUCCCAAAAUGGCUUAAUGUAAAUGAUAUAGGGGGCAUAAAACUUUUCAUCUGCCCUGAAGAAGCAUUUACUUAACAGUCAAGAGCAGUUCCUCUCUUGUCCCUAUGGAAAUGAUGCUUGUCCCAGUACUAAAAAACUUGUGGCAAAAAGCUUCUUGUUUCUGCACCAGAAACAUGAUGGUUUUCCCUGGUUGAGUACAGAACUCUCUUCUGGUCUGUUUCAGGGAGAUCCAAGGCUCAAAUACUCAAGUUCUUCAAAGCUCAAGCUGGGGUCCUGAGAUUGUGCUUUUGAACACAGCUCCAUGAUGGUGUUUUGGUCACUCAGCCACUCUCAGGGAAUGAAAGAUAUGUAGGAAAAUAUCUUUAUUCUGGAAUAGGAAGCACUGUGCUAUCACAAAGGAAGCAAGCAUUUAUCUCUUUCUAGUCAGAUGAGGAGCACCCCUACAAUCACAUCUUACUGAGACUUCAAAGCCUUGAGGAUUAUAAUUAUGCUUUCCUGACAGCAACUGUUGCUGUCUCCUCAUACCAUUGCCCUUGUUUCUGUUAAGGAUGCCCAUUAAUGCAGCACUCUGGCACCAGGCAGGCUGGAUGCUGGUGGUCAGGCAUCUGAUUGGGAUCACUGUACUGCUCAAUACAGUGAGACCCAAACAGUCACCAAUUAGCCUGAAGCCCAUAAUACAGCCUCUUGAAAUGGUAUAUUAAGGUUUAAUCCUAGCUCCCUGGCUUGACACAUCCUGUGUUUCUUCCGUGGUACAGUUGCAAGUUUUCCCUUCCUAUCAGUCCAUCAAUUUCUUAUGUGAUUUUUUUCCAGAAAAAUUUAGUCUGUGUUUCCCAAAAAGCUUCAUAUAUCAUAAUGCUGUCAUUGUCUAAUCAAACUGGUAAGCUUUUUCUAUGAGACAGCGGCAGAGAAGCCAAAAUCUACAAUUCUUUGCACUGGAAAUUACAGUGUUUUGUACACAUACCCACACACAGGAGACACAUACCCUACAGGUAUGGUGUCUGUAUCUAUAAUUUACUGGCCUGUACCCAUCCACUUGCAGACUGUCUGGGUUAGAGAUUCAUUUGCAGAAAACAAGCAGAAACUCUUUUCCAAGAGUCUACAAACAACUAGUAUAGUACAAAAACCAGGAUGCUGAAAGUGAAGAAAAUUGAAGAAAUCAAGAGAAGUGCUGAUUUGGCUGUUGUCCUCCAUAGCUGCAUCAAUUCUUUAAGCACCUAGGGAAUUUUCAUUGCUCUUCUAAGAGAAACAUCCAACACAAUCCAGUGCCCAGUUACCCCCAGUCUCUCCCUCUGACAAGCAGGAGUUUUGCUCCAUUUCUGAUGUUGUGAUCAAGAAAUGGCAUUUAAACUUACGUGCAUGCCUCUGAGUACUCAGAGUAGUAGAUUUCCCAUCUCACAGGCUGAAUUCCAUAUGGACCCAAAGGUGUCCCAGUGUGUAAUAGAGUUACUUGUUUGAUGGAAUUUCCUAGCUACAAUCUUACAGCCAAAACAAAACCAAACGAGCAAGUUUUACUAACCAAUCAUGCAGGUGACUUACAGGAAUUUUGGUUUUCUUUUUUUUGUUUGUUUGUUUUUUCAGCAUUAGGAAUACUGAGAUUGGUUUUCAGCAUAUUGGUCUUCCUUCCUAUGUAAGGUCCAAAGGCCCCACCCAUAAGGAUAUUUUACCUAUAUAUGCACUAUAUAUACAGUGUGCAUAUAUGUCUAUAUGUCUAUAUGCUAAAGUAAUAAAUUGCCAAUAUCAGCAGUAGCCCCUAUCAUCCAAUCACAUGUUUACACAGAAAUUCAUGCCUUCAUCUAACCCUGGCAUUCGCUGGUGUGGACAGAUGCAUGAUAUUGUUAUAUCUUGGUGAACAAAGCACGUUAAUUUCUUUUCUGUUAGAAUUAUUUCUUUCUUCCUUUUAUUUAUUUAUUUACUUUUAAUUGAUAAUUUCAUCUACCAAUUAGCCUUGGGGUAGGGUGGGGCAGGGAGAACAAAAAAAUUAUACAGGUAUAUCGAUCGAUAUAUACACACAUACUCCGUGUAUAUAUAGAUAGAUAUAUACAUUGUAUAUAUUUGAAGAACAUUUUCUAUCGUUUCACCUCAUCUUGUGCCGCAUGAAUUUUUGGUGAUUGAUAUUUUAGUUUAUUUUAUAUUUCUUUCCCUUUUUUUUUCCUUUUUUGGCUCGUAAUCGUGCCAUACCGCUAUUUUUUAAUUUUUAAAAUCAUUGCUGUACUUCUCAAUUUAUAUUUUUGGAGUUAUUCCAAUAAAAUCAUUAUUUGAUCAUCUCAAGAAUGAGAUAUAGAUCUGCAAAUAAUAAAGGCAACAAAAUCUUUUCUUGCCAUCCUUGAGAAAACCAAAUUUUUGGACAUCCCAAGAAAGUUGUGUGCAAAAGAAUGAAGAGUGUUACCCUUCCUUUAUUCUUAUUUUCCCUUCUCCCUACCUCUUUUAAACUUCUCCAAAAUCUCUAUCCCAUUUUUUCCCUUUUCCCUUUUUUUUCAACUGAGUUAAGGAAAAAAAUCACCCAGAAGAAAAACCUUUCCCUUUACCCCUGAGUUCUCCCAGGAAAAAUUCUUCCAACAUAAAGAGCCCUACAAACUGCAGAUGGCAUAAAAAGAAUUUUAUUGCAAUGCAGAAUGUCUGUUGUAUCUUUUAUUUCUGGGUCAGUGCAAAAUCAUUUUUCUGGCAUGCUGUAGUUUAGCUGAUGUAACUAACCAUGGCCUUCAUUAACCGGUGCAUGGGCUGUGAUGAUGCCAUCUUGUGUUCCAUCAGAGCUACACAUUCAGGCUAACCAAGCAAGUCUGUAGUGUAUGAUUUGGUGGGAUAUAAUUUUGAUUUUAAUUUGCAUUAUAAUUUAUUCUUUUUGGAAGAGUUAUGCCAGUACCGUCGGUUGCUUCUUGCAGCCUCAGAGUUAUAUAUCUACUUUGUUUUAUGGGGUUUUUUUCUCUUUUUUUUAUUUCUCAAGUAGCAAUUUUGCGUCUUCUUUGUGUUCAUCUGUCAUGUCACUGUGUCUUGGAGUCCACUGGCCCAGUGUUGUUAUGUGAUUCUGUUCUCUGUUCGUAAGCUGGUGUUCAGCUCCUCAGCACUCUUGUCAUACCUCUUCCCUUUCCCCUUCCCUCUUCCCCUCCUCACCUGCCCGAGGGGGAUCCACAAAGAGGCACCAAGCUUUGAAUGACAUUCUGAGUGUCUCCCCGUGGCUUCAAGAUGAAUGUUGCAAGAUGUCCACACAGCUUCAUAAGAAAAACCAAGUUUGCAGCUGUUCUGUUUUCAAUAGUUUUCAAACUCUGUUAUCAUUUCACUCCUAGAAGUGCCUUACUGGCAUAAUGCUAAAGUGACUUCUUUUGCAGCUUUUUAGAGGAUUUGUAUGUACAUGCUGAUGUGUUGGAGUAAGAACUUCUCUUAUCUGUGCUCUAGGUGCCAGACAAUGCUACACAGAGUGCAGGCUAUGUUAAAUGGGAUAUACCUAGGCAUUUUUAUAAAAGACAGUGUUAGAAAGGGAAUAUCACCGUGCAUCUGCUGCUGAAAUGAUAUCUCUGUGAAUAUUUUUUUAAAAUUUACAGUUCAUAGUUCAUUUGUAGGUAGGAGACAAAAAUCUAGGAACGUACUUAAGAUUUCUAGGAGUAGUGCAUCUUCACUCUGUGGGGUCAGUCUUCUGUUUGUCGCUGGGUGAUGUCUGCCUCUCACUGAUACUGGUGAAAAGUGCUUGCUGAUGUUUACUUGUAUAACUUGAACACAACUGUGGAAACACAUCUGGAGUGUCUUCUGCCAUAUGCGUCAUAAAUGUGCAAUAAUGUACAAGGCAGAAGAAAACAAGCUGAGUUUUCAGGUGUCUGCUUAGACUUGAAACACUAUUUAGAAAAAAUAUUGUUUGGCUUCUACAGUAGUGCAUUUCCUGGUAUCCUUAAUUCAGUCCCUGUUGAAGGUACUAGCUACAUUAAUGGCAUAUAUCUUUACAUCUAUCUUUAGCCUAGCUAAAAUUCCAGUUGUUUUGCAGGAAUUAGUUUGUUCUGAAGAGAAGAUGAGAUGAUGAAAUCUAUAAACUUUUUUCACAAGAGCAUGAUUUAAGACUUACCUGUUUAAGAUAAGAGUUACCAGAAGAGGGAAGUGAAGGGACAUGUUCAAGUCUCCAACAUGGAAUUAUUUAAUUAUUUCAUUUAACUUAACCGAGAUAUGUUUCUUGUACUUGCAGAGAGAUAAAAAGAAGAUAGCUUUUCUUUCACCAGUGGGAACCAAUGAUCUUAUGCUCAGUUCAGUUUUCUUAAUUCAUAUAUAGCCUGAGAAACAUUACUGAGUGAAGUUAUUAAAUGAAUCAAUAUUUAAAGCUUGGCUGGUUUAGAUUUUAGAUCUCUGUGUUUUUCACAACUAAUAAUUCCUACUGAAUCUAAAACUUUUUCUUGGCAAUUGCUUAAAUAGAGCAACUGCUUAUAAAAUUGUAUUAUAAUCAACAAGCUCAUAGUUUUGUGUAAUACUGCCCUCUGGCAGAGAGACCAGAACAGUCCUAUUAUGAGACUAAACAGCAAGAGAACCAUUUUUUUAGCUCAAGUGGCAGGUUAUUGGAGCAGAACAAUCAGAGUUUUAGCCCCCUGCAUGAUGAAGUUCAGGGUAACCUUCAGAUUGGAGUAUUGUGAUGAAUAAAUCAAGUGUCUGGGUGUCAGGACAGUAAGCUUCAGGCUGUGUCCUGCUGAAUGGUGACUUUUGCUUGCCUUAGGUAGCCUGUGACUAGCCUCUGCUAAGGCUCUGACUAUCCUUCUGGUGCAGGGAAUGAGAGGCUCACUCAGGUGCAGGGGAUGCUGUGGAAGGUCCCACUGUGCUCUGUUUUAUCCCACUGAAGAUCUGUAUGGAUAUCUGGCACUUGUAAAAUUUGUUCUUACUUUUGUUUUCUGUCUCAUGGCAGACUGUUGGCUUCAGCUUUUGUGACCUUUGUUACUGAGCAAGGGGAAGAGCUGAGGGUUCAGUUGUUUAGGCCAAGAAUAAAAACACUGAACUCUGGUGUGCCACUUCCAACUUUGUGGUUGAUUCCUUCUGUGACUCUGUAUGUAUAUUGUUCAUUUGCCUACCUGUAAGGCAGGGUAAAUGAAAUACUUCUAACUAAAUGAGGUGGAGAUGAAGGGAAAGGAGAUUUAAUCAGUAUUUUAACGGACUCUGAUAUUCAGGUGCAAAGUGCUGUUCAACACACCAAAAUUGUAUAGUACUGCUAAGUACCAAAAUAAACAAUAUUAUUGUUUAGGUUUUAAUACUAUCUUCACUUGCUGUGAGAAUUAAUAUUAUUGCGUAUUUUUAUACAGUAAGUACAACUGCUGAUCUGCUACUACAGUGAGGGAUGCAAAAGUCAAGUAUUUUCAUGUCAGGGAUCUCUGGUGUGACAUUAUUUUCAUUAAAUAUUACUCUUACCUCUAGAAUUAACACAUGCAAUGGAAUGAACCAUGCUCAGGCUACAUAAUUUAAUGUCAUGAGUGCACAGCAAUACAGAGAUCUUUCAUAUCAGCAUUUACAUCACUUGGACUUGGCUCCUGAUCAGAAUUUCGCUUUAAAAACGUCAUAGUUUCUCCAGCCUAACUUAGCUGGUGUUAAGUUUCCCUGGUUUUGCGUUUAAGAUCAGAAUCAGACCCACAGUCUGGCUACCUUGCCCUUGCUGCCUUCCAGUCUUUUUUUAAAGCGUGUUCUCUAAACUCAAAGCCAUGUGCGCUGUCACAUUCUGGCAAUCCCUCUAGUGCUGUGCCUAUGUUAUCAAGCUGACACAUGUCUAAAAUACUAAGAUAUGAUAUUUUCAACCUGCUGGGACUUGCUUUUUGUCCCUGUUAGCUUUGAUUUUCAGCUUCAUAAAAUAUACGGGAAAGAAAAUAAAAAUAGCCAAUGACACAUUCAGUGGAAAGAAAAGCUAGCACAUGACUCAGGAAAAGAUUUUGCAUCAAAAGCAAAUGUAUGUAUAUUAGACCCUUAAAUAUCUAUGGCAACUGAUUAGUUACCUUCCAACAAGAAGAAACUAUUUGAUUUCUGAAAGAUAUAUAAUAUCUGUUAGAGAGAAAAUGUGUUGAACAUUUACAAAUACUAGGGACAGAGAUACACUUUUGCUCCUUAAGGUUUGUAUUAUGUAUUUCUUUUGGUCAGCAUGCCUAGACCUGAGGGACCCUUAAAGGUGCUCUCAAGGUACUGCUGGUCACAUGAACUAUAACACCUGGAAUAAUACCUCUGUAGAGCAGGCAAACAUACUCUACCUUCAUUUUCAACCCAAGUAUAUAAUGAGAUACAAAAGUUAAUAAUGAUAUCAAGGAGGUUAUUACUUUGCCUUCCUUCUGCUUAUUUCAGAUCCAAUUUAUUAUUCACAAGUGCUAGAAAUCUGUGCUUUAUCCCAGCUGUAAGCAGCUGGAAACACCUAGGUAAUGUGAAGUGUAGUAUUUCUUUAAUACUACUUACCUUAAAUGCUGUGUGAGGAGCAGGAAACAAAGACCAUACCAGUUUUGAAACUAGGUAUCGAAGCACAACAAACAAAAACAAAUUAGACUGACUUGCUUUGAAAUCUUAGAUGUCUACUAAUUUGGGAACCCAUUUUAUUCUGCAUUUUCAUUAUGCUAAUAAAUACAUUAUUAAAACCUUACAAAAGAGCCACAAUCAAGGACUUUCUUUUUUUGCUUCUGUUGAGUCUCAUAAAAACUGAAGUUCUCUGGUCCCAUGAGGUGAUGUUAUAAGGAUCAUCAGCUCCUCUUUUGGCAUGUAGGAGGAACUAGAACUAGUAGACAGACAAAGGUACAGAACCUCAAAGUAAACUUAUUUUAGAGUAACAAGAAAAUCCCAACAAUUUUAUCUCUUCAUAGGUUUCACUCCAUCUCAGUGUCAGAGGCAUCAAAAAGAGGGAAAAGUUGUUUUUUCUUUGAGGGACAGCAGAAAUGCACAGCAAUUGUGUGUGUGUGUGGGUGUUCCAUUUUUUUUUUUAAAGAUGUGAAUUUUGUUUUCCUAAUACUGAAACCAGUAUGACAGGUUUUAGAUACUAGUUUUAGCAACUACUAAUUUUAAGUGCUGAAAUCUUGGGGGCUUCAUAAAUUUUAUGUUUGACAAAUGAAAAGAGCAAAAAUAGUCCUGUAAACAGUUCAGGGUAUUUCCCAGUGUAUCAAAGUAUAAUUUUAGUUCCUUCUCCUAACCUCUUUCUGUGCAGUAACAAGUCUACUGUGGAGUGCCUGGAGAUCGGUAUUUCCCCUAGAAUCUAUAAUUCUCCUGUGUGCUGAUUUUUUUAGUGCUAACACACAGAUCAUUAAUAUGUUGCAAAACCUGUGUAUGCAUGCAUACUCUGUCUUGGUACAUGUGCAUAUAUUUAUACAUCUAUUAAUGCCAUAUUUAUGUUCUGGCUAAAAGAAACAUUUUGGGGAACUGAAAUAGAAUAAAAUUGUUUAGGAGCUUUACAAGCAAAUGUGGAACAAAUAGAUUGAAUCUUACCUCCUCCUCUUUCUCAUACUCCUUUUCAAUUCGGUUAAUUCAAACCUUUGGCUUUUGUCUAACUCAGAAAGCAGGUAGUUCAUCCCAGCAUUUGGGGGAGGUGUUUUGAGAGUGAAGGCAAGUGUGACUGUCAGAAUUGAGAUCUAGGCACAGUCUGAAAUAGAAGACCUCCAGCACGCAUCUGAACUUGCAGCACGGAGGUGCCUUUGGUGAGAUUCUGAAUCAUUUGCCUCUGUCAGGGUAUUGGGGAUUGUCACAAACCUGUGGCAAGGAUUAAAGAAGGUUUGACAGCUGGAGAGAAAGUCAGUGCAAUGGGAGUAUGUGAUGUAACUGAAACUGAAUAAAGUACUCUUUUGUGCAGUAAACUGGACAUACUACUAGAUCUUUCUUAUUCCUUUAGCUGAUGGAUAGCAUUCUCCUGCAACACUGUAAAUCAUGAGCAAUCCUCUCGUAGAAAUCACCAAAAAUUAGUCUGGGGGCACUUUGGGGGUCUUUGAUGGUUUAUGUCCCCUUCUAAGGCAAGACUGGUUUCUUGGGCCUGCUAGUUGAGCCAAUUGUGCCUUACUGAAAAGGAUGGAUACCUUCAGGCUUAGCAUGAAUGUCCCAACACCUCCUCCGAGGGAGGCGGAGGGGAGAAGGAGGAGGGGGUGAGUUUUACACCUCAGCUUCAUCGGAGGGAGGACAUUGGCAUGAUAAAAGGCCAAUGUCCUCAUACUUUGCAGGAUCUGUUUCUUAAUCUGUUUCUUAUAAUCCUUUUUCCUUAUCUGACUCAAACUCCAACUUGCUGCUAAACAAAGGCUGGUUUGUCGUGAUCAUCGUCCAGUGGUGGGUGUGCACCCCCUCUGCCCCUGGGCUGUUCUUAUGCAGAUCAGCGGUUUCACCACCACACACUCAAAACCUCUCCUCCCCCUCGGACGGGGGCUGCUAACUUGGCCUCAGCAAGGCACCUGCUGCUUCUGCAAAAGAUGGAUUGUUUAAAUCAUUAACUUCUAACAUUUCCAUUUCUCACACCCUUUACUUCGUAUGCUUAAACAUGCAUCGUAAGCCCAAAAGGAAUUCAGAGACUGGAAGGUAGUUGAAGGUGUUCAUGCCCUAGUUAUUUUUAUUUUUUUUUUAUAAAAACUUAAGAUGUGGUGCUGGCAAAGUACUGUAGGAAUUCCGUCUAAUUUAUUCCUAACUCUCUGUGUCAUAUCCAAAACAAGAAAAUGUUAUUUAACUCCUAAAAUGCAAAAUUCAACUUUUGCCAUACAGUGCUUUUUCAUUUUGAAAUUGAUACCAAAAAAAAAAAAAAAAAAAAUUGCAUUCUAUCAAAGUGUCUAAUUACAAAACAAAGUAGAAAGUGUUGAAGUAUUGUGUGGGGACACUACAUUUGUCUUUUUUUUUUCAUUUUUGAAAAUAUGACUAGUAACUUUCACCUGUAAAUAACUUGAGGGCUUCUUACUACUUCUCUUCAGUUUUUCACCUUUUUUCCUCCCUGUUAGGUUUUUCAGAACAUUAAGCUGUACUUUUCUCUAUAGGAAACAUCUAUCACUAACUCUGUAUGAAUUGUGUUAGAAGACUAAAACCUUUGAUUACAUUUAUCAUAGGAGCUGAGCCAGUAUUUUUCAAAAUCUUCAAUUGGUUUGUUCACAGUUUUUCCUUGUAUUUUGAAUAGCAAUGGUAAAGUCCAUCCCUGAAGCUGUGUGAUCUUUUCCACAUAUGGUGUUUUCCAAAUCCAUCACUUUUCCCUUGGAAAGAAAAAGCAAACAAAAAUUGUUUUGGAUAGAGAGGAAAAAAAGUCUCCUUCACUAAGAUGAUAUUUUUAGAAACAGAUGGUAAAACAAACUGCAGAUGUUGUGCCUGCAGCACCUCUAUUCUAAUAACAGGAUUGUUUAAAGAUGAAAGCAGCCAUUUGUGUGCCUAGCUCACUCUGUUAGUAGUAAUUCUUCCUCCAUGCAGGAAGAGUUGGAAAACCUGGUGCAGUAUUUUUUUCCCUAUCUUGCCUCCUCUGGAAAGGUAUUUACACAGUUCUCUGCUAAAGAAUGAGUGUUCUGGUAGUGCAGUCUAUAGCAAAUGAAAAGACCUGAUAGUUUAGGAAAGAUGAAUCUCAGUCAUCUAUACCUCAUUUACUAGUAGAUAUUUUUUUGUCCUGAAGACUUUUUUUCUUUGCCUCCCAGAUGACCUUUCCUUCCUGAUGAGAAGCUGCAGGUUUUCCGUUGGCCUGUCUCAUAGCUGGCAAAUGUCCAAGCACAAGCUGCCUAUUCAGAUAGUUUAAGAAAUUUUUAAGACCUGCCAGGCUUGGCAGUCCUCAAAUAAGAACACUACAUUUACACAAAUAUUUAGAGUAUCCUGAGGAGUUUGAGCAGUUUUGUUUCUUUUUCCACACUGAAAAUUGCUUAGCUUCCAUUAAAGCUAAUUAAUUAGGAGUCUGAACAGCAAAUGAGGUAAAAGCCAUUUGGACUACUGUAAAAGCAGACUUUUAAUGAAGGCCCAGCUUUAUGGUGUUCUAUUGAUACUUACUGCUUUUGCCUUAAAAUCCCUAUAAAAGCAAUAUUGUUUAUUGUAUUUUAUUGGGAUUUAAUCUCGGAUGCCAGCUGCACAUUCAACAUGCUUAUUUAAAAUGAAUUUUAGUAAUUAGAUCUUGGGGAUGGCUGCAUCUGUGAAUGUCCAAUAGCUCUGACACUGUUUUAUAGCUAUAUUGCCAUAAUUUUUCCAGCAGCUAAGAGGAGCUUUGUGGAUAUUAGAGCAGCUGAGCAUUUGCUUAAAAAAUCUAAAUUUUAGACUUACACACUGACGAGAGAUAGUUAAUCCUUUUGUGGACCAGGCCUUUAAGGUCUGUCUGAAUGCAGGACUUGAAAUAAGAUCUUAGAGUCUUAAUUCAUCUUUCACUUUCUAACCUCAGUAAUCUCUCCUUCAUUUUUAAACAAAAGCUGCAUUUUGAUCCUGCAGAUUUCUUAAACCUUCUCUGUCAGGUACACACACCAGGAGGUCAUUUUUCUCAGGAUACAGCCAUGUUAGGGCAAUGACAACUUUUACUGUGGUGUGUCAUACUGCAUAAAUUUUCUUUUUCAGGGAGAUUUCAGCAAAUGCAAACCAAGACAAUAGAGCUAUCUACAGUGAAGUUAAAGAUUUUAGACAUCAGCUUAGAGCAAUGAUUGUUGUUCCUUGUUGAACAGCAGCUCUUUAUCAGUUUUCUCUUUUGUUUUGUCUUGUGCUAUUAUGGUAAUGAAAUGCAUAGAACUGUACACAUCAUUUCAGGGGUAGUACUGACAAAGCCACUGUUAUCUCUGGGCUCCAUUACAGUGGAGCCUCUGCUAAUACACGUCCUGAGUUCUGAAUGUAGCUGGGAAGCUUAAUAAACAUAGAGAACUGGUGUGGUGGAAAGAGAUUCUUUGCAAGAAAGGAUUAAGGGAUGACAAAUGCAGUUUCAUUUUAUAAAAUCCAAUAAAUUGGAGUGUUGUGUCUCUGACUGGAGCACUGGGAAAGGUGCUGGAAAUAGAAAGUAAGGGAAAUAUAUUUAUUUAUAUAUGUGGGUUUAUAAACAUAUAUUUAUGUCUGUGUAAUACAUAGUACAUAUAUAUGUGUGUAAGUGUACAUAUAUAUAAAAACCCGUAGGUAUUAUUUAGUUAAGUAAUAUGAUGACAGAUUUCUAAUAGUUGUAUCAAAUAUCUUAGGUUUGAAAACAGAGUGCUGGUAAUAUCCUGUACUUGUCUGCAGGAGAUGGACUGCGUAUCAUAUUUCAGGUCUCUCUGAUUCUACUGUAAGAAAUUGUGCACAUGCUCUAGCUCUCAUCUGCUGCUAAUUUAAGUUAGCAAUAAUGCAUAUAAGCAUUAUUAUCAGUGUAAAACUGCUGCAGGUGUGUUGCAAAUCAUGCUCUUAAGUUUCAAAUGUAGGAUUGGUUGCCAGAACUGAGCAUGAAAUCAGAAAGAGUGAGUUAGGAAAUUUGUUGCAUAUAUUAAAAAAAAAAUAAAUAAAUCCUAUGUACAAGGAAUUCCUGGGAGACUAUGUUUGGUAAUAGGCUUAAAAUACCAACUGCAGAACUUUUCCACCACAUUCCUUACUUGUUUAUAACUCUAUUCCAAACCUUUUGUUCAGAGCAUUUAUGAACGGGACGUUGAUUUUUCUUUUGGAAAAGGAAGCAGUCAACACUUGAAUCUCCAUAGCAGCUUGGAAUUUGGAUGCAAAUUAAAUACUUUCAGAGUAAAAAAAAUUCAAAAAAUUGUAUGUAGAUUCCUGUGUAUAUGCUUGUGCUUGCAUAUUUGCUAAUUAUAUUAACCACAUGGCUGAAGAAACUGGCAGCCUGAUGAGAUGUUGAGUGACUUAGGAUUAAUGAAAGUAGAAAGUAUUUAGCAGUUUAUAGUAUUAGGGCUAAAUUUAUAUAGUUAUAUGUGGAAAAAAAACACCAACUCACUAUAUAGAGUUAGCUAGACCUUAAAUCACAGUCUGGAAAAAAAAGUCUAGAUGAUUUAACAUAUAGGAGAGACUUUAGCUGGAAUGUUUCAAAGCUCAUCUGUCAAGUACAACAGCUUAUUUUUAAAAGAUACAUAUCAUCUACAUUUUUUACUGUAUUUCGUUACAAUGCUCUACUUUAUUCUACACAGUUUGAAUACAUAAGAAAUACCUGUUGGUUUUCUGAGAUCAGGUAGCUUCUGACUUUCACUUACUUUUUUUGAGCCCAGUUGAUGCAUCUGUACUCUGCACAUUAGUAUUCUUGAAAGAAGCAGAGAUAAACCCUCCUUUUGCUCAGAAAAUAUGAUGUGUCUUUAAGUCAUUGCAACUUCCAUUAUUAUUUCUGCACUUGAUAGUGUUCUGGAUCUUCUUGUUCUUAUCUGACAGAGUACCCAGCCUUAUAUGUCAGGUAAGGUGUUUGACCAGUAAUGUACUGUUAGGACUUCAGUAGCAUUGUUUAUCUCAGAUUUGAAAAGUAGUUUGCAGGUAUUUAGUAAGAAUGAUGAAUGCUAUUCUUUGCACGUCAGAAUUAUUGUAAUCAGGUUAGAAGGAUGCUUCCUUAGUUGACUCACUAACAAGCUUGAGUGGAGAGAAACGUGGAGAGAUGCAUGGAGAAAAGUAUUUGUAGGGCAUGCAACCGUUGCAGAGGUGGAAGGCAGAUAAAUUACUGUUGAGUUUAAAAGAAGAAUUUCAGUAAUAAAGGAGAGGAAAUGUUUCUGAAUAAAACUGGUUUUUUAAUUAUGAAAAUCCUUAAUUUUUAAAGCAAAGGGAAUAAUUUCACCCAUAGCUAUAUCUGAAUGCUGUAAAUGAGCAAACAAAAAGCCUUUCCUCCUGUUCACUGAUAUGUGUAUUUUCUUCUAGGGUCAGUCCACUGAUUUUUAAUGGUUUUGUAUCCUGAUGCUCCCUAUAGAGCUCACGCAGUGCUAGGGUUAGGGGAUAGGUUCCAGUGUGUUUCUCACUUCUCUUGUGGAGUCAUUUACCUACACCAGUUUAAAAGUUCAGUCAGUCAUAUUUCUGUAAAGUUACUGAAGGCAACAGGGAAGCUACAAGGUGUGUGAGGGCAUACAUCUUUCCUUAUGAGUGAUGAUAGGAGACCUGAACUCAUUUCUUAGAUCCCAAACUUGGUUUGGCAGUGAGUUGGUAUGAAGAAUAUCUUUGGAUUUGGAAUAGAUCAGAUAUUUUUCAAAUUGGAAAGCCAUCCACUGAGGCAUAAUAAGCAGGAAACACCAUGGCAGAGUUUUUGAAGUGGAAUGUAUUUUUCUAAGUGAAAGUUGAGGCUGAGGAAAGAGCAGAAAUUAGGUGGGUUUUUCUAGUUAACUCCAUUUUCUGCCUCCCUACCCAUGAAGAGAGAGCACAUACAGGCUUAUCUCAAAGCUUAGUGCUUCUGUGCUGAAUUCUUCUCUUUAUUGCUAUAUGUUUGAAUUGCCAGUUGGUUCCCUUUCUCUGUAUUUUUCAGCUGAGGUUACCACUACUAACCUACCAGAGAGUGAAAUAAGACAAUAAUAAGGAACUGUGAUGGAGAUACAAUGCGGCAAUGGCAAUUUAUGAUUUGGCUUCUGGCAUGCUUCUAUUUUGAUGAAUAACUCAAUGCAGUGGAAGGUUGUGAAAAGAAGCCACUUUGCAUUAACACUUAAAUUUACCGUGAAAGACUAACAAGAAUUGUUUAGGCACUGGAAAUAACACGCAAAUCUGCCGGUUCUUCUCCACCAUAAUCUUGGUUCAUGUGCCUGUUCCCAUUUAGUGUCCUUUGCAAAAGGCAAGCAAGGACCUAGAUGGCUCAAGUGUUUAUAAUGAGUCUGUUGAGGGUGAAGGGUUUCUUAUAACUUCAAAACAGUGCUGUCCAUUAAUACCCUAAUAAGCCAGAAAAUCACAGGGCACUAAGGUUAGAAUUUGAACAUCUUUUUAUUUCAUUCACAGAGUUCAAAGCUGCAAGUUUUGCCCUUAGCAUAAUUGCCCAAAUAAAGUGUUUGUUCUAUUAACAUAAUAUUUCCAUUUCCAUCUCUUUCUUGAUUGUGCUUAAGACCAUCAAUUAGAAUAAAAAUAUGAAUAGAAAUAAUUAUUUCAUCAGAAAAAUAAUUCUGCAUGAGAAAAUUUUGUGGCUCAUACAGAUAAAGGAAAUUAGAGGCUAUAAGAAAGUAAUAGACUUUCCUAUUAAAAUCUGACCAUAUAACGUCUUACUUCAUAGCAGAGGAAAGCCUAAUACGAUAAGAUUUUUUUAGCUUCUUUUAAUUAACUUUCCAUCCUAUUAGACUUGAUCUGCAGUUAACUUUCAUUUCACAGGUAUUCAUGAUUGUUAUGCUCCUGUGAAUUACUAAACCAUGAAGCUCAGACAUGAUGGUUAAUAACUAUGCAAAGUAAUCUUUUAGUUGAUUUUUCUAACAGUGACCCUAAAAUUUAAGUGUAAAUGCUUCAAGUAAUACAGUAAGCAGUAAUAUGGAAAAUAUAUUCAAGCGUAUGACUAUAUAUCUCUUUAAAUAGUGAUUCCACAGCAAUCUGAUCUGCCCUGGUCUAUGAAUAUUAACUGUUGGUUUGAAAAAAUACCAAAACCACACAACGAACCCCCACAUUUUGAAAGGUAGUGCUCCGACUUCUUUAACGGAGAAAACAAUUAAAAAUUUGGGAUAGUGAGAUAUAAGUUAUCAUGGUGUGAAGACAAGGGAGAAAGGACACCAAAGACACCUUAAGCAGAAAUAAUUAAUAGCAGAAAGCAGUCAUCCUGAUUUUUUGUUCAAAAAGCUCUUAAAAUCUGUAUGAACCUAAAUAUUCUGGUGUUCAUCUCCUCAGCUUUAGCUAUGGACAUACUACCUGUGGUUCUGAAAUAGAUACAAGUAUCACCGUUAUAGAAUGAUAGAAUGGUUUGGGUUGGGAGGGACCCCAAAGAUCAUCUAGAUCCAACCCCCUCACCAUGGGUGGGGACCUGCUCUUUCCAGUAGAGCAGGUUGCUCAGGGCUCAAUGCAGCUUGGCCCUGAACACUUUCAGGGAUGGGGCAUCCAUUACUUCUCUGGGAAACCUGUUCCAGUGCCUCACCACUUUCACAAGUAACAAGUUUCUUCCGAAUGUCUAAUCUAAACAUACUUUGUUUCAGUUCAGAGCCCUUGUCCUAUCAUUACAUGUCCUUAUAAGAAGUUCCUCUCCAGAUUUCUUGUAGGCUCCUUUCAGGAGAGGUGCUCUAGGCCUCAGUUCUGUGGCUGUCCUAUGGAAUUGCUUCAAGAGGUCCAUGACCUUCUUAUAUUGGGGGCCUCAGAUAUUAAUAUCAUCGAUAUUAAAGUAAGUUAACUUUUGGAAUGAGAUCUAUUUCUCUUCUAAUCCAAUCUUUUAUGAAAGCAGAGCAAAUACCCUUCCCAGCCACUUUCUUGCUAUAAUGCAACCUCUGAUAAACAGCUUAAAGCAUUGGCUUCUGAAUCACAGUAGAGUUUAUUCCAGUCAUUCAGUAUGUUCAAAAAGAGGAUUCAAACUUGCCUGCAGCAGUCUUUCACUGCUGUAAUCCUGAACUUUCAGAAGGAAAUUUGCAAAAACGGCACGCUUUCUUUAUGCGUCUGCUCUUCAUGGUUAGUAUUAAACUUGCCUGUAAAAACAAACAAGAAGUCCUGCCAAAAAUCCAUCCCCAAAUGCCUGAAUCACAGCACUAUCCCCUCUUGUCUUUUCCAAAUGAUAGACAGAACUAGCUCACAUAUAGAAAGCUCCUUUACAAAGGGCUCCCCUGCAGUGCUUCAGAGCUGCAGAGAGCUCAUAUGUUAGUUAGCUCUAUUGUACGUCUGAUGCAGUUACAAGCACUGCCUAGUAGGAAAACUGACGUCAAAGCACAGAUUAAAUAGUAAUUUCCCAUUCUGUCUCCAAACACCUCUGCUUGAGGUCUCAAGGGGAUUCUAUUGCAUUUAAACAUUAUUACUAUCAAAAGGAAAGAGCGUCUCACAUCCUCUGAACUGUUGUGAGAGAACAUCACCUAACAUACUACUCAAAAGGUUGUCAUUCCAUUUUUUUCUUUCCAGAGGAAGAGUUGUGGCUACAUUUGUUUACGUAUACUCAUUACUGUGGUUUCUACGUAGGAUUUUCUACCGCUUCGUAAUGGUAAUUUGGUAGAAGAAGCCAGCAGUCUACUUAGUAGUGAACUCCUCAUCACCGAAACUCUCUUACAUUACAGUUUUCUUCUACAGGUUACUGGGUAUUAAAGCCUUGGUGUAUCCAACAUCAGCUCAUCUUGCUGAUGGGGAACUUGGCUUAGCCUUUUAGGAUGGCUGUGAAGCAACCUUUGUAUUAACUCUGAGGAAUAUUUUGGCUUGUUCUUGGCUGAGGAGGAGGAGACUGAAGUCCUGGAGUCCCAGGACUUGAUUUUGGAUUCCCAAAGACUUGUUGUAGCAUAAGGAAAAUAACAUUAUGAGCAGGGCUGUGCUGCUGGAUUAGCCAUCAUUUGGAACAUGAGUUAAUAAGAGUCCCUGAUUUAUUGCAGUUUUUCUACGUGUGCUAGAAUAGGUCAUUUCGGUUCUUUACUUUUACAUCUCAAUUACUCUAGGAGGGAAUGUAAAAGUGCUCAAACUCAGUAGAAGACGACGAGCCCUAUCAUAACCCUUAUCAUUCCCUUUGAUUAGUAAAAGAAAUAAGUUUAGUUGUGAAGACACAGGUAAAUGAAUCUUGUUCAAAGCCUACUGGAAUAAGCUUCUUCCCAACCAUUACACUGUAAAUUCUCUUGACUCUACAUUUUACCAGGAAAUGCUGAAAAGGCAAUAAUGCCAAAAAGACAUAAAUCCAACUUAUAUUCAUUCAUAAACAUCCCUAUUUUCUUCUACAGCUUGCUAAACACUUUCCUUGGUACAGUGUGUACACUGUUAAAGGUCCUUGUUAAAGGCCUGUAAUAGUACUGAUUCCCAUGUACCCUCAAGAAUAAGGUAUAGCUGCAUCAGUGAAGAGACUUCUAAAGUGGAAUCCUUUCAAUCUUGAAUGUCUUCCAGAGUUAUAAGUAAUUCCUGGGAUGAUCCUGGAUUAUUCAGCCAUCCAAGAGGUAGACAACACUUUUCUUUCUGAGCUUGUGCUUUGCUUGAUUUUUUUUACAACUCCAAGAUAAAAACCACAAUAGCUAUCUCUGGAUAAAACCUGCAAAUGCAGGUUCUUCCCAGCAUUGAUUUACGUCUCUAAGAGGAACGGGAAAUGCUAAAAGAAGAGGGCUUAUUGAAGGCAGAACUAGAAUCACUACUUUGCCAUCAGAACUGAAGUUUAAGUUCAUUACAAGAGAAACCUUUUGCCAGUAAGUCUACUAUGCUCUGGAUCCAUCCCUCACAAAGCAAGGGAGGAAGGCCUAUCCACUGAGUUACUUCCAGCUGGACUAGCUGCAGAUUCUGAGAAUGCAAUGUCCUUGUGCUUACUUAGGGGUUAAUUAGAUUACUUUGUAGGAUCUUUCAACAGAAAUGGCACAUGUAACCUAGUAUCCAAGUGAUUAAAAAUAUUGCACUGAAAAUGAGUCCUGUCACCUUUCAGGUGGUUGUAGAGAGCAACAAGAUCUCCUCUGAGCCUCCUUUUCUCCAGGCAAAACUACCUCAGCCGCUCCUCAUAUGACUUACACUCUAAACUCUCCCCCAGCUCCAUUGCCCCUCUCUGGACUUGCUUCACCACCUCAGUGUCUGUCUUGCAAUGGUGGGCCCAGAACUGGACACAGCACUCCAGGUGUGGCCUCACCAGUGCCAAGUACAGAGGGACGAUCACUGCCCUGGUACUGCUGGCCACACUGUUUCUGAUGCAGACUAGGAUGCUACUGGCCUUCUUGGCGACCUGAGCACUCUGCUGGCUCAGCUUCAUCCAGCUGUCAAGCAGCACCCACAGGUCCUUCUCUGCUAGGCUGCUUCCAGCCACUCUACCCCAUGCUUGGGUCAUGGGUUCUUAUGACCCAAGUGCAGAACCCAGCACUUGACCUUGCUGAACUUCAUACAGUUGAUCUCAGCCUACUGAUCCAACCGUACAACAGCAUAUGGUUUCUUGGGAUGCAACUAAUAAGAAGGGAUGUGGUAGUCAUGAAGCAUCUACUAGCAUUUGGACAAACUGUUGACAUGUAUUUUUACCUACUUCAUAGCUGUAUACUGAAGAAAGGAAGAUAUACUAAUAUAACCUUGCUGCUCUGUGUUUGCAGAUUAUCAGAAAACUAUAUACAUUUCAGUAUACCAUAAAUAUGCAGUUUGGCUAGUAUUCCUGCUCCCACUCAAAUUAUUGGAUGACACUAUGCUACUGAGUUUGUCAGAAUGAGAAUCUGGUUUGUGGUUCCAAAAUCCCUCAGGAUUCUGAAAGACUUUGUUCCAUGUCUGGAAUGACUUUUAGGAUUAAAUAAAUUUGGCUUUACAUAAAAAGAGCCCUAGCUGGGCUGACUACAAAUAUCAGUCUUGAGUCUUUCAAAAACCACAUCAGGUCUUUCUUAUGGGAGACAGAUACAGCUGAGCAGAGAUGCAUGGGAAGAAUGCUUUCGGGCCAGUGAUAUUGGAUGGGCUGCUUAACACUGGAAGCAUCAAAUAUUCUUUGAUUUGGAGGACUGUGGAAAGAUAAUAAGCUUAUGGCAAACACCUGAAAAAUUCUUUACUUUAGAGAGCUGUGGUAGUUUAGCCCUAUAAUUUCCUUAGCUUCGAUAACUGUAAAUGUGCUUUCAUAUUUGAUGAUAGUUUCCUAGCUAAUUUCUAUAAAGAAGCCUCAUUAAUUAACUCUUACACACAAACCCAAGCAAAAUGUCGUGUUGGACUUUGUCAGUCGUGCUCAUGUAGACAUUCUUUCUAUAGAUUGCUUUUUAUUUCUGAGCUUCACAUGGGUUUAUAAUGAGAGAGCUUUUUGCCAGUACAAACAGCUGGUGCAAGGAAAGUGAUAUAACUAAUUUAUCUUCUUAGGCUCUUCCUAUCUUCCAGUGUUUUGUACUGUACCAGCUGAUUCAAUACACUUCUCUUGCAGUUUAAGUUAGUGUGGAUAGUUGAUGGGAAUCACAGGAAGAGAUUUUUAUUCUGAGUUGGGGGUAGGGAUGAGGGUAUGCUUUUAAAAUUAGUAUUUUAGUCCUAUUAAUCUAUAAGCUAUUUGUUAUUUGUGGUGUGCUAAGCAUUCAUUUGGCUAGAUGUCUGAAAAAUACUACUCUAAGAAAGGUUAAAAGCAUACAAGGAUGAACAGGUUGUUUUGGAAGCUAGUACAGGAAGCUUAUAAAGCCUUGAUAGUACAGAUGCUUUUACUCCCAGUCCUUCAAUCUACUUUAAGCUUAUGAAAAUAAAAUAAAGCUGCAAUGGUUAUGCUUUUUAAUCUUUGUUUUUCUGAAGAAUAAUUUUCUAAAUGUUAAGUAAUAAAAUACUGUCUUGUAGUUUUAUGUGGAAGCAUUCAGGAUUCAAUUUUCAAAUUAGGACAUCUAGGUUUUACUAUUAACAGCUAGAAAUUUUUUUAAAAAAUGAAGGAGGUAUUCCCAGCCUCAGCAGAAAUUGCUGGACCAAGAUUUUCCAAAGACCUCUGCUUCUAUUCAAGCACCUCUGAAUUGAACAAGUAAAGAAAAAAUUUCUUAUCACCCUUAAAAUCCCCUUAUAACUAUAACAUCAAGAUUUCCUUUACAAAAUCUUGUCAUUUUUUUAAGUGUCUCUGGCUCCAGCUGUGGUUCUUUAGCUCUUUUGAUCUUCCAGGCAGUAAAAGUCUUUUCCAGACCCUCAUGCAACGAGUUAGGCAUUUAUUGUCAAAUAGAGCAUAAGUAUUUUCUGGAGUGGCCUGACACAGACUGCACAGUUGGCAGGCAGACCCAUGCCUUACAGUCUGUUUUGCAUCAAAGAGAAGGCACUCAAUUCUAAUGUGCUGAAGGGGGAUAUUUCACUACUCUGAAAAUCCAGCUGCAAGUCAUGACAAAUACUGAUUAAAAUUCAAAGCUUAAAUGCCUCUUUGUGAAACUCCCUAAGUACAAUUAAACCAGAGGCUCAGAAUCCUGGUUGGGAGUGAUGUCCAGGGACACUAGCCUUGUAACCUCGUCAAAAAUCUCCUCUGAGGUCUGAAAAGGCCUCACUUCUGUAAUUUUUUUUUCUUAUUUCUAACCAUUUUUUUUUGAUCUCAAAUGAAUCCUCAAAAUUUCCUAUGUAGACUAACAUUUUUCUUCCUGUAACCUGCAUGUUCUGUCCCUGAGAUAACCUUGACCAGGUUUCCUUUUCUUUGGUUUGACCUCUUCCCUUCCUAACAUGUUUACCAAAGAGAUGUAGGAGAUAGGUCCAGUGUAGUCUUCCAGCAAAGGCAUUGUACAUUCCAGCUACAGCUGCACUGUGCUUAUAGGGAGUGCAACCUCAUCACUUCUGAAGCAGGAGUUCUCAUAUAACUCCUCUCAGAAUUGGACCCUUUUCAGUAAUGCCUCUAAAACCACUAUGGGCUAUUGUAUUUUUGUGGGGUGUAUUGCUUAUUUAACAUUCCCCGGCACUAUACUGAUCUCUCAAUGUCUUUAGAGAUGCUAUUAUUCCUCAUGUUAAUAAGUACCAAAACUUCCUACCUGUUUGUUAUUGUAUUUAUGCAAAAGUACCACUGGCCACAUCUACAAGAAGGAUAGUCCCAUUCUUCCUAGAAAUUCAAGCUCAAGAUAGCCCCCACUUCCACCAAUUGGUGGUAGCAUGACCUUUAUGAUGGCUUAUGAAAUGAUCUUGCUGGCAUUCAUGACAGAAAGCUAAACUACGAGCAGUGCUUACAACCUCCUCCUGGAGAGAAUCAUCGUAGGCAGGGUCCAAAGCCUUAUAUGUAACUUUUGCAGUCUUCUAAAACAUCAACCAAAGCAUGUUUUUUUCUGGGGUCCUUCUUGGAAGGACUCUGAUGUCAGGAUUAUGAUCUUUUUACAAGAAAAAUAUGGAUAUCAUGUGUGUCAUUAAAGAUUAGCUCAGUUGGUUAGAGCAUAGUGCUAAUAACACCAAGGUUGGGGGUUUGAUCCCUAUCUGGGACAUUCACUUAAAAAUUGGACAUGAUGAUCCUUGUGGGUCCCUUCCAACUCAGAAUAUUCUGUGAUUCUAUGAAUUCAGAGGAAGCUGAGGACCCCUCCAGAACAUACAGUAUUUGUAAUCCUGUUUAGUUUUAGUAGACUCAGAACUGAUUAGUAAUAUCUUCUUGAACUUUGUAGCAUAGGAGAAAGUAGUCUCCACCUUAAUGCUAGCAGUAGCAGCAUUUUCUGUCACUAGGCAAAAAAAAGAAAUGCCAAUCACUUUGGGAAUGCUUUGGAAAGUUAGAGCCAAAACAACCUGGCAUUUUGAGUGAUUGAUUCAAAUAGAAGGUAAUAGUCAGGGUAAAGAGUGUGUCCUAGCAUAGCUUAUGAUUUCUCCUCACCCUUUUCCCCUCCUGACCUCCCCCAGAAAUGUGGAGAACCCGCUGGAAUGUGCUUUGCCCUUUCUGGAGAGGCAUGGAUGGUACACCCCUCGCCCUCCCCUUCCCCUCUGCCCACCCACUCCCCAGGUCCUUGCUUGCUGUUCUGUUUUUCUACUUUCCCUAAAUGCAACUUACUUUAAGCAUGCAUUAUUAUUAACAUCCUACAGUAAAAUUAAGCUAUUAUAUAACCCAUUUGUCGACCUCAGCCAAUUUCUUUUAUCUUUUUCUAUGUCUAUUUAUGACGUACAUCGAGACUGCACGUCCUUUUUUUUUUCCUCUCCAUGUUUAUUUUAAAAAUAAAAGAUUAAAAAAAAGAUCUAUUAAAAAAAAAAGCAACACUAGAGGGUGGUGGGGUUUUGGCCAACAAUUCAAAACAAAUUUAAGGGGGAGGGGGAUGGAAUGAAAGAGAAACCGAUAUUUAAAAAAAAAAAAAUCUAAAUUAUGAAAGUGUCCCUAGACUGCUUUGUCUGUUCCUUUCAAUGUGCACAUCUGGUUUGUUCAUCUUUGGAAGUGUGUGGAAUAAUUUUUUCUUUAAAAAUAAAAUUUCAAACCCCCACAAUUGCUCUUAUCUCCCUUCUUCCUGGGAACAAAGUGCUCUUUUUCUUUUUUUUUGCUUUUUUUUUUAGUAUAUCUCUACAUAGUUAUAUUUUGAUGUAUUUCUUUUCAAUGGUUGAAUUUCUAUCUUAGAUUUGCUUUGUUCCAAUCUUAUAAUGAAAAAAAAACCAAACAAAACAAAAGAGUUAUGAAUUGUUUUCUGCAAUUUUUUCCCUCUAUUUCUGUCUUUAAAUAAGGAACUACUUCACUGGCAGAAUCCUACAGCUGUAUUUUUGAGAUUUUCCCUGGAGAAUCUGAAUAUGCAAGCAGUCUAAUUUGACAGUGGGGAAGGGGGUGCCAGCACAACAAUUACAGUCAAAACACUCAUUUGAUGUGCUCAAGAAAUGAUUGUCUCAAAUUGCUGAGAAUACUGAUGUCAAUUUGAUGGACUUCAGAAAAUAUGAUUCUUAGAAGAAGGCUGUGGGUAGCUACAGAUGAAGUUGUUCUAAUUCCAAUGCAUAAAACUAGUUUCCUUGUUUUUUUUGUUUUACUCUCUGGUUAUUAUUAUUAUUAUUAUUAUUAUUAUUAUUAUUAUUAGUUUAUGUAUUUUUACUGCUAUUUUUAGUAGGGAAAAGUCUUAACUGUUUUUAUAAUUUGAAAACCUUUAAUGAAAAUGUAAAUAUUAUUACUAUAAUUAUUAAUUUUUUUGUAACUUGCAUGUUGAAGAAGUUGCAGCUUAGGGUUUGUGAGAUUGUCAAUGUUAGAGUUCUGUUCUUUCUUUUUGUUGAUGGGCAUGAAUAUGCUCAUUUGUUUUUGUAUAUUGCCCAUCCCUUCCUUACAGCCAGAAGCUCUAAUGCUGCUAGAUCACUCCGUACCGCCCUUACAUGGACAUGGCAACUGACUUACACAUUCACUCCCAUCAUCUUCAUCUCCUGUGUAGUACACUCAUAGAUUUUUACACUCCCACUCCAUCCACCCUAGGCAUUUUUUCUUCCCAUAAGUUCCCCUUCACCACCCCUUUCUUUAGCAUUGUUAAAAUUUUAUGUGCAGUCAUCCAUUCCUUAAAACACACACACACAAAAAUUAUAGAAAAAAAGAAAA
Molecule: long non-coding RNA, 26421 nt
Organism: Myiozetetes cayanensis
Lineage: Eukaryota; Metazoa; Chordata; Aves; Passeriformes; Tyrannidae
Exons: 2
Source: RefSeq, a predicted model, not a curated record